UACAGAGGGUGCAAACGUUGCUCGGAAUUACUGGGCGUAAAGGGCGCGUAGGCGGCCUUCUAAGUCGAACGUGAAAUCCCCGGGCUCAACCCGGGAACUGCGUCCGAGACUGGAAGGCUCGAAUCCGGGAGAGGGAUGUGGAAUUCCAGGUGUAGCGGUGAAAUGCGUAGAUAUCUGGAGGAACAUCGGUGGCGAAGGCGGCAUCCUGGACCGGUAUUGACGCUGAGGCGCGAAAGCCAGGGGAGCAAACGGG
RNAcentral lists this ribosomal RNA (253 nucleotides) under uncultured bacterium. Its description in RNAcentral is "partial 16S ribosomal RNA". It matches the Rfam family "Bacterial small subunit ribosomal RNA", at positions 524 to 776 of the family's 1533-position model. The record is from RNAcentral.